GGCGCCGCGACAAUGGAGCCGCCCUUGACGAUCAGAUCGGGUUUGACGCCGAAGAACGCCGGCGACCACAGCACGAGAUCGGCCAUCUUGCCCUUCUCGACGGAGCCGAUCAGUUUCGACACCCCGUGCGCGANNNNNNNNGGGUUGAUGGUGUAUUUCGCGAUGUAGCGUUUCACGCGGAAAUUGUCGUUAUCCUUGCCUUUGUCCUCCGGCAACGAACCGCGCUGCUUCUUCAUCUUGUCGGCGGUCUGCCAGGUUCGGAUGAUAACUUCGCCGAGACGGCCCAUCGCCUGCGAGUCCGACGACAGCAUCGACAGCGCGCCGAGAUCGUGAAGGAUGUCUUCCGCCGCGAUGGUCUCCUUGCGGAUGCGGCUUUCGGCGAACGCCAGAUCUUCCGCGAUCGACGGAUCGAGAUGGUGACAGACCAUCAGCAUGUCGAGAUGUUCGUCGAUGGUGUUACGCGUGAACGGCCGGGUCGGAUUGGUCGACGACGGCAACACGUUUUUCAGGCCCGCAACCUUGAUGAUGUCCGGCGCAUGGCCGCCGCCCGCGCCCUCGGUGUGAAAGGCAUGAAUGGUGCGGCCCUUGAACGCCUUGAUGUCCUCCACGAAUCCGGACUCGUUCAACGUGUCGGAGUGGAGCAUCACCUGAAUGUCGUAGUCGUCAGCGACCGAGAGGCAGU
This 682-nucleotide unclassified non-coding RNA is filed under the name Hevea brasiliensis (rubber tree). The record is from RNAcentral. Lineage: Eukaryota; Viridiplantae; Streptophyta; Magnoliopsida; Malpighiales; Euphorbiaceae.